This is a microRNA precursor of Oryza sativa Indica Group (long-grained rice), 192 nucleotides long. It matches the Rfam family "MIR812 microRNA precursor family". The record is from Rfam. Lineage: Eukaryota; Viridiplantae; Streptophyta; Magnoliopsida; Poales; Poaceae.
AAAAACUCAAUUUCUGGGUUUUCAUGUCUAACCUUUGAACGUUUGUCUUAUUUAAGAAAAUUUAAAAAAUUUAAAAAGAUAAGUCAUGCAUAACUAUUAUUCAUGUUUUAUCAUCUAACAAUAAUAAAAAUACUAAUCAUAAAAAAAUUUCAUAUAAGACAGACAAUCAAACGUUGAACAUGAAAACCCAAG